This 253-nucleotide ribosomal RNA is filed under the name uncultured bacterium. Its description in RNAcentral is "partial 16S ribosomal RNA". It matches the Rfam family "Bacterial small subunit ribosomal RNA", at positions 524 to 776 of the family's 1533-position model. The record is from RNAcentral.
UACGAAGGGGGCGAGCGUUGUUCGGAUUUACUGGGCGUAAAGGGCGCGCAGGCGGCGAGUUUUGUCAGGCGUGAAAGCCCCGGGCUCAACCUGGGAAUUGCGCUUGAAACGGGCUUGCUAGAGAUCGGGAGAGGAGCGUGGAAUUCCCAGUGUAGAGGUGAAAUUCGUAGAUAUUGGGAAGAACACCGGUGGCGAAGGCGGCGCUCUGGACCGAGACUGACGCUGAGGCGCGAAAGCGUGGGGAUCAAACAGG